UAUCUCUGUAGAGUCUGCAUAUCAAUAAGCGGAGGAAAAGAAACUAACUAGGAUUCCCUCAGUAACGGCGAGUGAAGCGGGAAGAGCUCAAAUUUGAAAUCUUCAAGGUUUUACCUUGACGAAUUGUAGUUUAAAGAAGUGUUUUCUGUUGGAGUUUUGGUAAAAGUUCUUUGGAAUAGGACAUCAUAGAGGGUGAGAAUCCCGUAUUUGACCAUUAUUUCCAGCUUUGUGAUACACUUUCAAAGAGUCGGAUUGUUUGGGAAUGCAGUCCAAAAUGGGUGGUAAAUUUCAUCUAAAGCUAAAUAUUGGCGAGAGACCGAUAGCGAACAAGUACCGUGAGGGAAAGAUGAAAGAACUUUGAAAAGAGAGUUAAACAGUACGUGAAAUUGUCAAAAGGGAAGCGUUUGACACCAGUGUUGUUUUCUCGAAAAUCAAUUAAAAAAGGCAGGAUUUUGUGUUGUAUUGACUUUAUCAGCUUUCUGCACUCUUUUCUUGUCUUUUUUAAUGCACUUUUCGUUUAACAAGUCAACAUCAAUUUCUUUUGUUGUAAAAGAGUCAUUGGAAGGUGGCUUUCACUUCGGUGAAAGUGUUUAUAGCCUUUGGCUUCUGCAAUCGGAGAGAUUGAGGUCUGCAGCGUAGAUCCUUCGGGGCUAGAUACGUAGAUGCUAAGUUAUAGUUUUUUAUAGACAACUUGUUGACUAUAAUUAAUCAUGUAGCUUACUCGUUUGCGCUAUUUUACCUACGCUUAGGAUGUUGAAGUCAUCGUAUCGCGC
RNAcentral lists this ribosomal RNA (773 nucleotides) under uncultured Neocallimastigales. RNAcentral's name for it is "partial large subunit ribosomal RNA". It matches the Rfam family "Eukaryotic large subunit ribosomal RNA", at positions 24 to 645 of the family's 3401-position model. Lineage: Eukaryota; Fungi; Neocallimastigomycota; Neocallimastigomycetes; Neocallimastigales. The record is from RNAcentral.